RNAcentral lists this ribosomal RNA (301 nucleotides) under uncultured bacterium. RNAcentral's name for it is "partial 16S ribosomal RNA". It matches the Rfam family "Bacterial small subunit ribosomal RNA", at positions 509 to 809 of the family's 1533-position model. The record is from RNAcentral.
CAGUAGCUGCGGUAACACGGAGGGUGCAAGCGUUAAUCGGAAUUACUGGGCGUAAAGCGCACGCAGGCGGUCUGACAAGUCAGAUGUGAAAUCCCCGGGCUUAACCUGGGAACUGCAUUUGAAACUGUCAGGCUGGAGUCUUGUAGAGGGGGGUAGAAUUCCAGGUGUAGCGGUGAAAUGCGUAGAGAUCUGGAGGAAUACCGGUGGCGAAGGCGGCCCCCUGGACAAAGACUGACGCUCAGGUGCGAAAGCGUGGGGAGCAAACAGGAUUAGAUACCCCAGUAGUCCCUGUCUCUUAUAA